AAGAACUGCUCCUUCUAGGCAGUUAGACAGAUUACCAGCAUCUUGUAGUGUUCUCUGGGAGUUUAAGUUGAAAAAGCAACACAGGAAAGUGUUGGAUAAAGGAAAACCUGAAGAUGUGAUGCCAUCUGUUAAGGGUGCCCAGGAGCGCCUGCCAACGGUACCGCUGUCUGGCAUGUACAAUAAAUCUGGAGGAAAAGUGAGACUCACCUUUAAACUAGAACAAGACCAGCUGUGGAUUGGCACUAAAGAGCGGACUGAGAAAUUGCCCAUGGGCUCCAUAAAAAAUGUGGUCAGUGAACCUAUCGAAGGACAUGAAGACUACCACAUGAUGGCGUUUCAGUUGGGCCCCACGGAAGCCUCUUACUACUGGGUGUACUGGGUUCCAACUCAAUAUGUGGAUGCAAUCAAAGACACUGUGCUGGGGAAAUGGCAGUAUUUUUGAAAGCACUUUCACCUCUGGCCCAGGAGACUGACCCAAAGUGAAGGACAUUGCUGGGAGAGGCCUGCAGCAUCCCUGGAUUUCAGAGUUCUGGAACUUUGUUCAUAAAAAAUCUAUAUUCAAUCUGAGGUGAUGUGGUGACUGAAGCCAGAGGUGAUGUACUUUCCCCAUUAGCUUAAUUUUAACUUAAAAUUACCAGUUCCCUUUCUUGCAGUCAGCUUCAUACCAUUUUUAAAGUCAAUACGAUGGAAAUCAAUAAAUCUGAAUUCC
RNAcentral lists this small RNA (709 nucleotides) under Pongo abelii (Sumatran orangutan). RNAcentral describes it as "processed transcript". Lineage: Eukaryota; Metazoa; Chordata; Mammalia; Primates; Hominidae. The record is from RNAcentral.